AUUGAACGCUGGCGGUAUGCUUAACACAUGCAAGUCGAACGGUAGCAGGCCUUCGGGCGCUGACGAGUGGCGGACGGGUGAGUAAUGCAUAGGAAUCUGCCUAUUAGUGGGGGAUAACGUGGGGAAACUCACGCUAAUACCGCAUACGCCCUACGGGGGAAAGCUGGGGACCUUCGGGCCUGGCGCUAAUAGAUGAGCCUAUGUUGGAUUAGCUAGUUGGUAGGGUAAAGGCCUACCAAGGCGACGAUCCAUAGCUGGUCUGAGAGGAUGAUCAGCCACACUGGGACUGAGACACGGCCCAGACUCCUACGGGAGGCAGCAGUAGGGAAUAUUGGUCAAAUGGGGCGCAAGCCUGAACCAGCCAUGCCGCGUGCAGGAAGAAUAGCCCUCUGGUUGUAAACUGCUUUUGACAGGGAAGAAAUCACUUAUGCGUAAGUGUCUGACGGUACCUGUAGAAUAAGCACCGGCUAACUCCGUGCCAGCA
This 484-nucleotide ribosomal RNA is filed under the name uncultured bacterium. Its description in RNAcentral is "bacterial SSU rRNA". It matches the Rfam family "Bacterial small subunit ribosomal RNA", at positions 30 to 513 of the family's 1533-position model. The record is from RNAcentral.